GAUGAACGCUAGCUACAGGCUUAACACAUGCAAGUCGAGGGGCAGCAUGGUCUUAGCUUGCUAAGGCCGAUGGCGACCGGCGCACGGGUGAGUAACACGUAUCCAACCUGCCGUCUACUCUUGGACAGCCUUCUGAAAGGAAGAUUAAUACAAGAUGGCAUCAUGAGUCCGCAUGUUCACAUGAUUAAAGGUAUUCCGGUAGACGAUGGGGAUGCGUUCCAUUAGAUAGUAGGCGGGGUAACGGCCCACCUAGUCUUCGAUGGAUAGGGGUUCUGAGAGGAAGGUCCCCCACAGUGGAACUGAGACACGGUCCAAACGCCUACGGGAGGCAGCAGUGAGGAAGAGUGGGCAAGGGGCGCAGGCCUGAACCAGCCAAGUAGCGUGAAGGAUGACUGCGCUAGGGGUUGUAAACUUCUUUUAUAAAGGAAUAAAGUCGGGUAUGGAUACCCGUUUGCAUGUACUUUAUGAAUAAGGAUCGGCUAACUCCGUG
RNAcentral lists this ribosomal RNA (490 nucleotides) under uncultured bacterium. RNAcentral describes it as "partial 16S ribosomal RNA". It matches the Rfam family "Bacterial small subunit ribosomal RNA", at positions 28 to 507 of the family's 1533-position model. The record is from RNAcentral.